RNAcentral lists this transfer RNA (81 nucleotides) under Scedosporium apiospermum. It matches the Rfam family "tRNA". Rfam says of the family: Transfer RNA (tRNA) molecules are approximately 80 nucleotides in length. Their secondary structure includes four short double-helical elements and three loops (D, anti-codon, and T loops). The record is from Rfam by way of RNAcentral. Lineage: Eukaryota; Fungi; Ascomycota; Sordariomycetes; Microascales; Microascaceae.
GAUCGUGUGGCCCAGUGGUUAAGGCACGUGCUUCACAACGGAGGUCGCACGGGAUCGCAGGUUCGAUCCCUGCCACGAUCA